Non-coding RNA from Candidatus Melainabacteria bacterium, 88 nucleotides. NCBI's taxonomy places the organism in Bacteria, Bacillati, Candidatus Melainabacteria. The record is from Rfam.
GGAGAAAUGGCUGAGUGGUUUAAAGCAGUUGUCUUGAAAACAACCGUACGUUAGUAGCGUACCGUGAGUUCAAAUCUCACUUUCUCCU